AGCAGCCGCGGUAAUUCCAGCUCCAAUAGCGUAUAUUAAAGUUGUUGCAGUUAAAAAGCUCGUAGUUGAAUUUCGAGACCGGUCUACUGGUCGUGCUUUUGUACGUACUGGUAUAAUCGGUUUCUCUCUUCUGACGAACUAUAAUGCCAUUAAUUUGGUGUUUUAGGGAAUCAGGACUGUUACUUUGAAAAAAUUAGAGUGUUUAAAGCAGGCUCACGCUUGAAUACAUUAGCAUGGAAUAACGAAAUAGGACGUUUGAUUCUAUUUUGUUGGUUUCUAGGAUCGACGUAAUGAUUAAUAGGGAUAGUUGGGGGCAUUAGUAUUCAAUUGUCAGAGGUGAAAUUCUUGGAUUUAUUGAAGACUAACUACUGCGAAAGCAUUUGCCAAGGAUGUUUUCAUUAAUCAAGAACGAAAGUUAGGGGAUCGAAGACGAUCAGAUACCGUCGUAGUCUUAACCAUAAAUUAUGCCAACUAGGGAUCGGAUGAUGUUAAAUUAAUGACUCAUUCGGCACCUUACG
RNAcentral lists this ribosomal RNA (518 nucleotides) under uncultured Glomeraceae. Its description in RNAcentral is "SSU rRNA". It matches the Rfam family "Eukaryotic small subunit ribosomal RNA", at positions 569 to 1092 of the family's 1831-position model. Lineage: Eukaryota; Fungi; Glomeromycota; Glomeromycetes; Glomerales; Glomeraceae. The record is from RNAcentral.